CCCGGGGUGGGCGGGUUGGCCGUCCACGGGGUGGCCGUGGACGGCACCCCGACGGGCUGCCGGUUCCACACCCGCCGCCCGGCC
Molecule: transfer RNA, 84 nt
Filed under: Urbifossiella limnaea
Lineage: Bacteria; Pseudomonadati; Planctomycetota; Planctomycetia; Gemmatales; Gemmataceae
Description: Planctomycetes bacterium ETA_A1 tRNA-His
Source: RNAcentral